Molecule: RNase P RNA, 339 nt
Filed under: human gut metagenome
Description: Bacterial RNase P class A
Rfam family: Bacterial RNase P class A
About the family: Ribonuclease P (RNase P) is a ubiquitous endoribonuclease, found in archaea, bacteria and eukarya as well as chloroplasts and mitochondria. Its best characterised activity is the generation of mature 5'-ends of tRNAs by cleaving the 5'-leader elements of precursor-tRNAs. Cellular RNase Ps are ribonucleoproteins.
Source: RNAcentral
GCCGGAUAAUCGCGCCCUUACGGGUGAGGAAAGUCCGUGCAUCCAAGGACAGAUCGCCGGAGAAACUCCGGACAGCGUGAGCUGGUGGAAAGUGGCACAGGAAAUAUACUGCCGAUGGAUUUUAUAUCACAGGCGAUGGUGCAACGGUGAGUUAAGAGCUUCACCAGCGGUAUCGGAAGGUACCGGCUAGCUAAACCCCGAUCGGAUGCAAGAUUGACUCAGGUGCUUGAGGUGUCCGCCGAGCCUGAAAAAUCGCUAGAGAUUGGGAGCAAUCCCAAUACCAGAUAGAUGAUUAUCAAGGAAUUUUUCCUGAACAGAACACGGCUUAUGAGCUGCUUU